UUUGUAUAACCGUGAAUACACAUACAAUAUAUAAAUACAUACAUAUACAUAUUCAUAUACAUAUACCUACCUACUCACAUACAUACGUACGUACAUACAUACAUAUAUAUAUAUAUAUGUAUAUAUAUAUAUGUAUGUAUGUAUAUAUGUGUAUACAUAAGACAUAGAUAGAAAGAGACCGAGAGAGUGAGAGUGAGAGAGAGAGAGAGAGAAAGAGAGAGAGUUAGAGAUACACAUUUCCGAUUUAAUCACAAGUCAUCCUCCCCUACAGGAAUUUCACAUCUUUGACUUCACUGGUUUGGUACGCAUUCUUCUUUAGCCAGCAUGGAAUACCCAUACUUAAACCAAACUACAUUUGAUGCAGCAAAUUGUUCUCUGUCAGGGAUGGACAGCAGUCUUCCAAAUUGUAACAUUCCUUGCUCCUACGGAGACACAAGUCCUUUUGGACAAAUGUCCCAGGGUUACCGCUAUAAUGGGGUGAGAUCCUUUCCCAGUAAUCCGACUAUCACCACAGGAAGUUGUAGUAUGAUGCCGCGGACUAGAGACCAUCCACAACCACCGGUAUUUCCUUCUGGUA
Molecule: long non-coding RNA, 577 nt
Filed under: Octopus vulgaris (common octopus)
Lineage: Eukaryota; Metazoa; Mollusca; Cephalopoda; Octopoda; Octopodidae
Source: RNAcentral